This 114-nucleotide ribosomal RNA is filed under the name Paramormyrops kingsleyae. Lineage: Eukaryota; Metazoa; Chordata; Actinopteri; Osteoglossiformes; Mormyridae. The record is from RNAcentral.
AACAGCAGCCAAAACACCUGCAGUUCAGACUAGGUACUCUAUCUCAAGCGAAGCAUGUUUAGUCCUGGCCAGUACUUGGUUGGGAGACCAAUGAGGAAAGCUGGGUUGCUGCUA